GAUUAGACACUCUGACCCUGCUGAUCACACACAUGGCCCUGGAUUCCUUUCCCUCAUGGCAACUCUGUCUGGAUCCUAAAUAAAGAUGGCCUGGCUUCCAGGUCAAGGUUGAUGGGGUUGGGACAGCAUCUUGGCCUGGCUGGAUGCUGUAUCCUGUGCAGAGCUGGCUCCCUGGUCUGAGGCCGGGCCGUGAGCCCCAUGUCAGCUCCUCCGCUCACUCAGUAGUCGCUUGAUGACAUCCAGGAUAUCAGGUGAGCAGCCUGGUAGCCUACUGGGGGAUGACAAAGACCUGCUCUUCUAGCCAAUAACCACAGCCACCAUCCGUGCAUUUGAAGCCACUUCAGGGCACAUGGUCUGGGCAGAGCCACCCGAUGAAGGCAGCCACAUGAAGGAGGAAGAGAGACAAAGAGUUGCAGCUGAUGUACUCCAGGCACCUCAGAUGAACUCCUCGGCCGAGGAAGGAUCUGGUAUGGGGAUCUCGCUGCUUAAGGGGAGCCGAGAGAAGAGAUUUGCACUCUCCCUUCCCAGCUGGACAUCAAGCCACAGCCACGCAAUGGGAUGAGGAAUCUGCAGGCAGCCCUCCAAAUUUCCACGAGGGCCUGCAAGACUCCAGAGUGGGUACUGAAGCAACGGAGCUGAAGACAGGGGCUGUGCCGAGAUGUCGCUGCUGGAGGCAGACCUGUGAAACCCCCCGACAGGAACCGGCAGUGGAUGUCACGGCAUCUUCAAGGAAAGGCGGAAAAGGUGUUUAAAAAAUCCCAGUUCACUAAACUGGAGUUAAUUUGCCUGAAAUUGCACCGAUAAAAUGUCUAUGUUUUGACAAAAUAGGGGUUUAUAAACAAAAAUUGAAGUCUGGUGAUGUCCAUAUUAACUGCGUAUUCAAACUUAGCACCACCAAGAAUGGGAAAAGUUGAAAUGUGUUUUCUGGUAUGAUAUAAUGGGACUUCCCUAGUAUUGCUGAUAAUACCCUGGCCAAAAGGACUUACUAUGAAUUUAAUCACAAGGAAGCAUUCAGUACUGAUGACACGAGCUGUCUCAAUGUCAGCAUUAAGUGCACCCAAUACUAGUAGGUUUUGUGCUUUUAAUAAGCUGGAAUUUAUCUCUAUAUGAAACAAAUUAAUAAUUGUAUUCCGCCACUAGGAGAGUUUAUGUGCUCCUCCUACACCAAAUCUCCCACUAUACUUCCAUUAGCAAGUGAGUCUUGUUUUGGGUAGCAGUUUCUUGGGCACAUCCUUUUGCAAAAACCCCAGAGCUAUGCAGUUAAGGCGCGUGUGUAUUUUACCAUGUAUAAGUUGUGUUCCCUUUUAAAAAAGUGUCCUGAUUUAAAUGAUAAAUUAUAGUUUUCCUAGUUAUAAGGAUGUUUUGGGGAUUUUUUUUUGACAGGCAGAGUGGACAGUGAGAGAGACAGAGAGACAAAGAGAAAGGUCUUCCUUUUGCUGUUGGUUCACCCUCCAAUGGCCGCCGCGGCCGACGUGCUGGGGCUGGUGCACCACGCUGAUCCGAUGGCAGGAGCCAGGUGCUUCUCCUGGUCUCCCAUGGGGUGCAGGGCCCAAGCACUUGGGCCAUCCUCCACUGCACUCCCGGGCCACAGCAGAGAGCUGGCCCGGAAGAGGGGCCACCAGGACAGAAUCCGGCGCCCCGACCGGGACUAGAACCCGGUGUGCCAGCGCCGCUAGGUGGAGGAUUAGCCUAUUGAGCCGCGGCGCUGGCCGUUUUGGGGAUUAUUGCAGAAAUUUGCAUAGGGAGUAUUACAUGAUACCAUAGCAAUAGGAAAUUUCUUGGUUUGAACUAUUGUGGUUGUGUAGGAAUAUGUCUAUAAUAUAUAAAGAAUAUUACAGAAAGGCUAAUGAUUGGUCAGUGAGAUACAGAACAAAUACACAUGUACCAGUUUUCAGUUUUGAAAAUUAUAAAAUAAAAAUUUGGAAAAAUAAACA
Molecule: long non-coding RNA, 1934 nt
Organism: Oryctolagus cuniculus (rabbit)
Lineage: Eukaryota; Metazoa; Chordata; Mammalia; Lagomorpha; Leporidae
Source: Ensembl